RNAcentral lists this long non-coding RNA (217 nucleotides) under Phoenix dactylifera (date palm). Its description in RNAcentral is "long non-coding RNA (PDAC_LNC017344)". The record is from RNAcentral. Lineage: Eukaryota; Viridiplantae; Streptophyta; Magnoliopsida; Arecales; Arecaceae.
GAUUUUCUCGAGCCAUGUAUUGUCCCCUAGGAUUACUUAGUGGUUGGCUUGGAAGCUUUCCUUCCUCUCGCUUGUUCAGUGCAUUAGCUAGUUGCCCCAUUUGGGAUUCUAGCUUGGCGAUGGAUUGUGUGUGAGAGUGCACUAAUUGUGUAAUAGUUUCCAAACCUUGAAGGGCGUUCAACACUUUCUCCUCAAAGGCUGUGUUUCUUUGGGGUGG